GACGAACGCUGGCGGCGUGCCUAAUACAUGCAAGUCGAACGCUGAAGAGAGGAGCUUACUCUUCUUGGAUGAGUUGCGAACGGGUGAGUAACGCGUAGGUAACCUGCCUUGUAGCGGGGGAUAACUAUUGGAAACGAUAGCUAAUACCGCAUAACAAUGGAUGACACAUGUCAUUUAUUUGAGAGGGGCAAUUGCUCCACUACAAGAUGGACCUGCGUUGUAUUAGCUAGUAGGUGAGGUAAUGGCUCACCUAGGCGACGAUACAUAGCCGACCUGAGAGGGUGAUCGGCCACACUGGGACUGAGACACGGCCCAGACUCCUACGGGAGGCAGCAGUAGGGAAUCUUCGGCAAUGGGGGCAACCCUGACCGAGCAACGCCGCGUGAGUGAAGAAGGUUUACGGAUCGUAAAGCUCUGUUGUAAGUCAAGAACGGGUGUGAGAGUGGAAAGUUCACACUGUGACGGUAGCUUACCAGAAAGGGACGGCUAACUACGUG
RNAcentral lists this ribosomal RNA (497 nucleotides) under uncultured bacterium. RNAcentral describes it as "partial 16S ribosomal RNA". It matches the Rfam family "Bacterial small subunit ribosomal RNA", at positions 28 to 507 of the family's 1533-position model. The record is from RNAcentral.